Molecule: long non-coding RNA, 1930 nt
Organism: Chelonia mydas (Green sea turtle)
Lineage: Eukaryota; Metazoa; Chordata; Testudines; Cheloniidae
Exons: 3
Source: RefSeq, a predicted model, not a curated record
UUAUUUGAUGUGACUGAAUUUAUUUUUUACCUCUGUGGUAUGAUAUGUACUGUCAACAUUCUGAGAAAUAAUUGAACUGUAUUUAAAUUAUCCUGCUUUUCUUUGUAUACAUUUUUUUUGAGAACAUGGAAAUUACCAACCUUUUACACUUCUCUUUCCUUCCUAUAAAUCAGUGAGUUAAUUUAAUAUUAUCUGAAUCUGUCUUACAGGUUUUUAUUUAGUGUGCUUUUGCCUUUUUUUCCUUGUUAGUUUAGUCAAUUAUGUACUAUAUUAAAUAAAAAUAUUUUAAAAUCAUUUAACUUUUGGGAAAAGCAUGCUUUCAAACUUUAAAAAUUCCUUUAAUUUUGGCCAGAACUGUGUAAAAUAUUUUUACACACACACACUGGAUGCAUUUAAUUGGGGCAAACCCAUCAAAAAUUAUGUGAACUUCACUUAUAUGUUAGAAUCAAACUCUGGCCUGUAAUCUUUUUAAUAUUUUUUAAAAAAUGAAACACUACAGUUUGCAAUGAGUUUCAUGCUGGGUCUGUCUGAGUUGGAGAAACUUACAGUAAGGUUGGAGUGCAAAGAUCAAUGCUACUCUACUGUUUUAUAGCCCCAGUCCAGUAGGCACAUGCUCAUAAGAAUAUGAGCAGUGUCAUUGACUUCAGUGGACAUUACUCAUGUACUUAGAGUCACACUUGCUUAAGUGCUUUGCUGCAUUGGUGUGGGGCUUUUUGUUUGUUUGGUUGGUUGGUUGGUUUGGGGGUUUUUUUGUGAAUGAACUUCUAAUAUAGAUGCUUAAAGUCACCUAAGAAUAGUUACGGGUAUGGAACAGUGAGCGCUGCAAUUAACUGCUCCCACCAAAUGGGAAAAUUGCUGAAGGUCGGUUGGGCAUGUUUCUUUAAAUAAUUCCCCUCAUCCCUAUUGUGAAUGCUGUAUUAACUUUUCUACUAAUUUUCCCUAUUCUUUCUCCCCCGAAUGGGAGCCAAAGGAAGCUGCAGCCACAAGGAAUCACAGGCAGUUCAGCUCCAUUGGAGUCGUGGAAGACUGCAUUAUUCAGCAGCAGUUCCAAAAAGGAGGGACAAGAGACUACCUUAACAAAUGCCCUUUGGAAGUUUGGCCUGUCUUGAUGUAACUUUGAAGGUAUGAGGAAACUGACAUGAAGAGAUUGCAGAACGUGACUGGAUGUUGCACAGUGAGCAGCUUGCAAUAAACUGCUCCUAGAAGACCCAGAAUCUAGCUAAGCUCACUCUCUGUGUUCAUGGAACCUUCUAUUUCCCACCUUUCAUCUUUCUCAGCCAUCUCUGCCAUCAACCUGAAUGCUGAGACACACAAGCCUUGUCUACACUGGCAAGUUUCUGCGCAGUAAAGCAGCUUUCUGUAGUGUAACUCCCGAGGUGUAUAUGCUGCCAAGCCACUUAGUGUGCAGAAACUGUGCAGCUGAAGUGCUGUAAAUAAAGCACCCCGAUGAGAGGCAUACAGUUUUCUCUGCCGGGGAUACAGUGCUGCAGUGCCAGUGUAGACCCUCUAGUCGAUUACAGCACUGCAAUUGGCCUCCAGUAGGUGGAGCUCAUCUUAAGUGAUCACUCUCCUUACAAUGUAUAUUUUUUCAUGGUCUGUGUGUAUAUAUAAAAUCUCAUCACUGUACUUUCCACUUUAUGCAUCUGAAGUGAGCUGUAGCUCACGAAAGCUUAUGCUCAAAUAAAUUGGUUAGUCUCUAAAGUGCCACAAGUACUCCUUUUCUUGUUACUGCAUGUGAUGCAUGAAAAAAGCCCAGCUUGACUCUGAAUGAGGGGAAACUGAUAAGAAAAAAAUCUCUUCAUUUGUCAGAGCUUGUCUACACAUGGAGUUGUUCAGAAAUUACUAUUUUGAAAGAGUAAUUCCACACAUGGACACUUGAAUUUCUGAAAUUCCAGUUUAGCUCAAUUCAUGCAGUAACCAGAAACAAGGC